Junco hyemalis (dark-eyed junco) is the source of this 479-nucleotide long non-coding RNA. The record is from Ensembl. Lineage: Eukaryota; Metazoa; Chordata; Aves; Passeriformes; Passerellidae.
CCUGAAUCAAAUUUGACAGAACUGGGUUAGAGGAGGCCAUGCACGCAGUGGCACCUCGCCGGGAUGGAGGCCUGAGAGAGCAGCUUGGGGGAGCCUGGAUGGGACACCACUGACCCUGAGUGUGCCACAGACAGAGAAGAGACACAGAAGUUUGUCUGACAGGCCUUUCUUUAAAUCUAGCCUCAUCUUCAGUGCAUUUUUCAGUUAAGAAAAAUGUGUGAGGUGACAGCAGCAUCAGUGAAAUAGCAGCAUCAAAGCAUCUAAAGGAACAAACAUUCCCAAGAAAAGAAGGUUCUCCUACUGCAGAGCAACAAGCUGCUACACGUCUCUUGCAACUGUGGGAACAGCGGAAUUUACAAUGUAAGCGUUUUGUUUCAUAUUUUGUGAACUAUGUGCCUUCACCUCAAGUCUUUGCUGUAGAUUCAUUGUAGCACAGAAAUACUGCAGAACUAACAGAAAUUCAGUGGAGGGGAUGGGGG